Molecule: ribosomal RNA, 578 nt
Filed under: uncultured bacterium
Lineage: Bacteria
Description: bacterial SSU rRNA
Rfam family: Bacterial small subunit ribosomal RNA
Source: RNAcentral
CCUACGGGAGGCAGCAGUAAGGAAUAUUGGACAAUGGAGGCAACUCUGAUCCAGCCAUGCCGCGUGAAGGAUUAAGGCCCUAUGGGUUGUAAACUUCUUUUAGACGGGACAAAACCCCUUUACGUGUAAAGGGUUGAUGGUACUGUCAGAAUAAGCAUCGGCUAACUUCGUGCCAGCAGCCGCGGUAAUACGAAGGAUGCAAGCGUUAUCCGGAAUUAUUGGGUUUAAAGGGUGCGUAGGCGGACUAAUAAGUCAGUGGUGAAAGCCUGCAGCUUAACUGCAGAAUUGCCGUUGAUACUGUUAGUCUUGAGUACAGUUGAGGUAGGCGGAACGUGUCAUGUAGCGGUGAAAUGCUUAGAUAUGACACAGAACACCGAUUGCGAAGGCAGCUUGCUAAGCUGUAACUGACGCUGAGGCACGAAAGCGUGGGGAGCAAACAGGAUUAGAUACCCUGGUAGUCCACGCCCUAAACGAUGAUAACUCGCUGUUGGCGAUACACUGUCAGCAGCCAAGCGAAAGCAUUAAGUUAUCCACCUGGGGAGUACGACCGCAAGGUUGAAACUCAAAGGAAUUGACGG